AAAACGACUCUCGGCAACGGAUAUCUCGGCUCUCGCAUCGAUGAAGAACGUAGCGAAAUGCGAUACUUGGUGUGAAUUGCAGAAUCCCGUGAACCAUCGAGUCUUUGAACGCAAGUUGCGCCCGAAGCCAUCAGGUUGAGGGCACGUCUGCCUGGGCGUCAAAC
This 164-nucleotide ribosomal RNA is filed under the name Helicostylis pedunculata. Its description in RNAcentral is "5.8S ribosomal RNA". It matches the Rfam family "5.8S ribosomal RNA". From Rfam's summary of the family: 5.8S ribosomal RNA (5.8S rRNA) is a component of the large subunit of the eukaryotic ribosome. The record is from RNAcentral. Lineage: Eukaryota; Viridiplantae; Streptophyta; Magnoliopsida; Rosales; Moraceae. RNAcentral also lists the same sequence under 3 other names.